Molecule: ribosomal RNA, 442 nt
Filed under: Staphylococcus saprophyticus
Lineage: Bacteria; Bacillati; Bacillota; Bacilli; Caryophanales; Staphylococcaceae
Description: bacterial SSU rRNA
Rfam family: Bacterial small subunit ribosomal RNA
Source: RNAcentral
AGGAUGAACGCUGGCGGCGUGCCUAAUACAUGCAAGUCGAGCGAACAGAUAAGGAGCUUGCUCCUUUGACGUUAGCGGCGGACGGGUGAGUAACACGUGGGUAACCUACCUAUAAGACUGGGAUAACUUCGGGAAACCGGAGCUAAUACCGGAUAACAUUUGGAACCGCAUGGUUCUAAAGUGAAAGAUGGUUUUGCUAUCACUUAUAGAUGGACCCGCGCCGUAUUAGCUAGUUGGUAAGGUAACGGCUUACCAAGGCGACGAUACGUAGCCGACCUGAGAGGGUGAUCGGCCACACUGGAACUGAGACACGGUCCAGACUCCUACGGGAGGCAGCAGUAGGGAAUCUUCCGCAAUGGGCGAAAGCCUGACGGAGCAACGCCGCGUGAGUGAUGAAGGGUUUCGGCUCGUAAAACUCUGUUAUUAGGGAAGAACAAAUGUG